CCUACGGGUUGCAGCAGUGGGGAAUAUUGGACAAUGGGCGAAAGCCUGAUCCAGCCAUGCCGCGUGAGUGAAGAAGGCCUUAGGGUUGUAAAGCUCUUUCACCGGUGAAGAUAACGACGGUAACCGGAGAAGAAGCCCCGGCUAACUUCGUGCCAGCAGCCGCGGUAAUACGAAGGGGGCUAGCGUUGUUCGGAAUUACUGGGCGUAAAGCGCGCGUAGGCGGAUAGAUAAGUCAGAGGUGAAAUCCCGGGGCUCAACCCCGGAAUUGCCUUUGAUACUGUUUAUCUUGAGUGCAGAAGAGGUAAGUGGAAUUCCGAGUGUAGAGGUGAAAUUCGUAGAUAUUGGGAAGAACACCGGUGGCGGAGGCGGCAACCUGGCUCGAUACUGACGCUGAGGCGCGAAAGCGUGGGGAGCAAACAGGAUUAGAUACCCUUGUAGUC
Molecule: ribosomal RNA, 440 nt
Filed under: uncultured bacterium
Lineage: Bacteria
Description: bacterial SSU rRNA
Rfam family: Bacterial small subunit ribosomal RNA
Source: RNAcentral